RNAcentral lists this ribosomal RNA (253 nucleotides) under uncultured bacterium. RNAcentral describes it as "partial 16S ribosomal RNA". It matches the Rfam family "Bacterial small subunit ribosomal RNA", at positions 524 to 776 of the family's 1533-position model. The record is from RNAcentral.
GACGGGGGGGGCAAGUGUUCUUCGGAAUCACUGGGCGUAAAGGGUGCGUAGGCGGGUUUUUAAGUCAGAGGUGAAAUCCUGGAGCUCAACUCCAGAACUGCCUUUGAUACUGAGAAUCUUGAGUAUGGGAGAGGUGAGUGGAACUGCGAGUGUAGAGGUGAAAUUCGUAGAUAUUCGCAAGAACACCAGUGGCGAAGGCGGCUCACUGGCCCAUAACUGACGCUGAGGCACGAAAGCGUGGGGAGCAAACAGG